CAGCAACGUCCAUCCGUGCAAACCUCUUCAUUAGUGCGACAAGGUCACCAUGAUCUUGGGCAUUUGUCGGGUUUCCUGUGUUGCAUACCUAAUAAAUGGUAUCGAAUUGUUCAAUCGAUGUACCUUUUCGUCUUGUGUUGCUCAUGCGGCAUGGGGCGAACAUGGAAGCGGUCCUUUUGAUCCAUCCCGUCGAUGCAAGCGCAUCUUCGUUGUGGCUUGUUGGGCAUCGCUUGGUUUCCUGGAUACUGAAGCUUAUGUGGGUAUGGGGCCUUUAUGGCCAUGCGUUUACCCUUAUCAAAGCGUUAUCGCUUUCCUGAAACGACCAGCGGUCAUGUGUCGGAAUUUUCGUCCGUGGCCGGUGACGUCGACG
RNAcentral lists this unclassified non-coding RNA (370 nucleotides) under Lycoseris triplinervia. RNAcentral describes it as "partial miscellaneous RNA". Lineage: Eukaryota; Viridiplantae; Streptophyta; Magnoliopsida; Asterales; Asteraceae. The record is from RNAcentral.